CCCAUAUUCGUUAAUUUGCUUACAAUAUACAAUGCUUAUGCUGAUGGAGAUCAUAAGAUAAUAGCUGUGGAACAUGAUUCUUUUAUGUGCAAACCACUUGCAACCAAGACCCUUUUUGCAUGUGUAUAUGAGAUCACGCCCUUGUAAAUUGUAAGUUGUAACAACCUAGGAGGCCUUCUUGUGUUUGUAUCUCUUGGCACAGACAAUGUAGAUGAACAUGUUAACUACGCUGAGUCCAGCUAAGAGCCAGAAGUAGUAAUCAAGAUGGCCCUUGUUCAAGUUGUCAGGAAUCCAUCCAUGCUUCCCACCCCCAGUAGUGAAGUAUGUUACCACAGUUAGAAUAAAAGAGCUCAGGUAAUUGCCCAAAGAUGUUGUCAGCAGCGACAAUGCACUGCAUAAACUCCUCAUGGCAUCUGGAGAUUGUUCAUAGAAAAACUCAAGCUGCCCGACGAAUGUAAAGACCUCUGCAGCACCUACUAACAUAUAUUGGGGGAUUUGCCAAAAGAUACUAAGAGCCAUGGCAGCAUCCUCAUCGACCAACCCAUGCUCUUUAGCGAGCUGCAGUCGCUUGAUCUCUACCAAAGCAGCAGCACACAUGGAUAAAACUGAAAUGAAAAGGCCAAUGCCCAUCCGUUGCAACUCAGAGAAGCCCCUCUCUUUGCCUGUGAACUUCCUUGCAAUUGGAACAAUGACUCUAUCAUAGAUCGGCACCCAGAAAAUAACACUGAUAACAUCAAAUGUCGACAAGGAAGCAGGGGGAAUGGUGAAAGAACCAAUUGUUGUGUCCAUCAGCAUCCCUUGUUCCACAAACAUUGUAGACAUUUGGGCAUAGACAGCAGAAAAGACAAUUCCUGUGGCCCAGAUUGGAAACAUGCGGACCAAAAUCUUCAAUUCCUC
RNAcentral lists this unclassified non-coding RNA (897 nucleotides) under Hevea brasiliensis (rubber tree). The record is from RNAcentral. Lineage: Eukaryota; Viridiplantae; Streptophyta; Magnoliopsida; Malpighiales; Euphorbiaceae.